This 514-nucleotide ribosomal RNA is filed under the name uncultured bacterium. RNAcentral describes it as "partial 16S ribosomal RNA". It matches the Rfam family "Bacterial small subunit ribosomal RNA", at positions 28 to 523 of the family's 1533-position model. The record is from RNAcentral.
GACGAACGCUGGCGGCGUGCCUAAUACAUGCAAGUCGAGCGGACGAAUCGAAAGCUUGCUUUUGAUUCGUUAGCGGCGGACGGGUGAGUAACACGUGGGCAACCUGCCCUGUAGACGGGGAUAACACCGAGAAAUCGGUGCUAAUACCGGAUAACACGAAAUGUCGCAUGACGUUUCGUUGAAAGACGGCGCAAGCUGUCGCUACAGGAUGGGCCCGCGGCGCAUUAGCUAGUUGGUGAGGUAACGGCUCACCAAGGCGACGACGCGUAGCCGACCUGAGAGGGUGAUCGGCCACACUGGGACUGAGACACGGCCCAGACUCCUACGGGAGGCAGCAGUAGGGAAUCUUCCGCAAUGGACGAAAGUCUGACGGAGCAACGCCGCGUGAGCGAAGAAGGCCUUCGGGUCGUAAAGCUCUGUUGUUAGGGAAGAACAAGUAACGCAGUAACUGGCGUUACCGUGACGGUACCUAACAAGAAAGCCACGGCUAACUACGUGCCAGCCGCCGCAGUAA